Molecule: ribosomal RNA, 471 nt
Filed under: uncultured Geobacter sp.
Lineage: Bacteria; Pseudomonadati; Thermodesulfobacteriota; Desulfuromonadia; Geobacterales; Geobacteraceae
Description: bacterial SSU rRNA
Rfam family: Bacterial small subunit ribosomal RNA
Source: RNAcentral
UUUCAUUUAGUGGCGCACGGGUGAGUAACGCGUAGAUAAUCUGCCUUAGACUCUGGGAUAACAUCUCGAAAGGGGUGCUAAUACCGGAUAAGCCCACGAUGGCGUAAGUCRUUGCGGGAAAAGGGGGCCUCUGAAUAUGCUCCUGAUYYAAGAUGAGUCUGCGUACCAUUAGCUAGUUGGUAGGGUAAGAGCCUACCAAGGCGACGAUGGUUAGCUGGUCUGAGAGGAUGAUCAGCCACACUGGAACUGAGACACGGUCCAGACUCCUACGGGAGGCAGCAGUGGGGAAUUUUGCGCAAUGGGGGAAACCCUGACGCAGCAACGCCGCGUGAGUGAUGAAGGCUUUCGGGUCGUAAAGCUCUGUCUAGAGGGAAGAAAUGAUARUCGGUUAAUACCCGGUUUUCUUGACGGUACCUCUGAAGGAAGCACCGGCUAACUCCGUGCCAGCAGCCGCGGUAAUACGGAGGGUGC